RNAcentral lists this long non-coding RNA (455 nucleotides) under Vigna radiata. RNAcentral's name for it is "long non-coding RNA (VRAD_LNC017264)". Lineage: Eukaryota; Viridiplantae; Streptophyta; Magnoliopsida; Fabales; Fabaceae. The record is from RNAcentral.
AAAAUUUCAAUUGGUUGUUUUGAAAACAGUGUUUGAACAGCUUAAAUUAUCAACUUAUACGUUAAACAUAUUGCCCCUCUAUUUUCCUUUUCAUCAUGAUCUAGAGCAAAAUAAAAAAAAUUACUUUUAUUUCUUGUUCGCAAAAGCCAAUCUUGAUUCUAGAAAUGGGUUAAAACCAUGUUUCUUCUUUUUACUUUCAGAGUUUUAAACANGAAAGAAAAGUUAUAACUAACAAAUUCAAAGCAACACUGGCAUAUCUAAGAAAUUGUGAAUAUUCUAGUAAACAGUAUACAGGUCAUUACUAGUAGUGAAUUAUGAAAUGUAAGUCACCAGUCAGUCAUUUUGAAGAAAUAAAACACAAGUAUCCAAAACAUCGAAAAUAAGGAUAAGAAGCAUAGAAGUAUAUAUGAAAGAUAUCGAGUGAGAAUAUCUAUGUGAAUUCUGUUAGUCUAACC